AAUGUAUUUGGGGCAAAUACGUAUCCCAUGAAAAAGGGUCGCAGUUACUUGAGAUUCCUUUGGGAGGCUUGGCAAGAUCUGACUCUCAUCAUCUUAAUUGUAGCUGCUGUACUAUCACUGGCACUUGGAAUACACACAAAGGGCCUGAAAGAAGGAUGGUAUGAUGGUGGAAGCAUAACUUUUGCCGUACUUCUUGUUAUUUUUGUAACAGCAACAAGUGACUACAGA
Molecule: unclassified non-coding RNA, 228 nt
Filed under: Hevea brasiliensis (rubber tree)
Lineage: Eukaryota; Viridiplantae; Streptophyta; Magnoliopsida; Malpighiales; Euphorbiaceae
Source: RNAcentral